CAUUAAGCACAUAUUCAAAAAAUUAACAAGAUUGAAACAUUAUUCUCGACACAACAGGAUCGAAAACUUCGUUAUGCUCGUAAUCAUCACCCAGUGUCAGUUCAAAAUAUUAUAAUCUUUUUAAUUUUCUAUUAAUUUUGAAACUUAUCCAAAAGUUGGAAUUCAUCCAUUUUAAAAUAACACAUCCUUUUCUUUUUAAAAAAUAAUUAUUUAUUUAUUUUGAGAAUUUUUAUCUCAUAAUAUCAUCACACAGAUAAAAAAAAUAAAAAUAAGUACUUAUGCCAAAAUUCAAUUUAAAAAUGUCGACGCUGCGCAAAACACAUUUCUCUACACGACCUUAAUUAUUACAUUACCUUUUGCAUAAUAAAACCUACUACAUCACUACAAGAUGUACAUCAGAAAAGGAAUGUUCUACAGGAAUGCUGCACACAUCGAACCCAUUUUUUUAAAAUUAAAUUUUGGUGAAAAAACACCGAAAUAACAUACGUACUUAUAUGCCAAAAAAAUUUAUACAAUCAUAUGCUAUAUAAGCAUUUAAAAUGCACCCACAUAGAAUAAAUUAAAUAAACAACACAU
RNAcentral lists this long non-coding RNA (576 nucleotides) under Ananas comosus (pineapple). RNAcentral describes it as "long non-coding RNA (ACOM_LNC035755)". The record is from RNAcentral. Lineage: Eukaryota; Viridiplantae; Streptophyta; Magnoliopsida; Poales; Bromeliaceae.